This 19-nucleotide small nuclear RNA is filed under the name Arabidopsis thaliana (thale cress). RNAcentral's name for it is "snRNA_04480". The record is from RNAcentral. Lineage: Eukaryota; Viridiplantae; Streptophyta; Magnoliopsida; Brassicales; Brassicaceae.
CGGCUUAUCUGCGGACCGC